Molecule: non-coding RNA, 98 nt
Organism: Acanthosepion pharaonis
Lineage: Eukaryota; Metazoa; Mollusca; Cephalopoda; Sepiida; Sepiidae
Source: the annotation of a GenBank genome assembly
ACGCAUGUACCGGUUCCCGCACGAUCACCAAAGUUAGGCAAUGUCGAGUCUGUUCAGUACCGAGAUGGGUGACCGCUUCGGAAUACCAGGUGAUGUAA